AGGGAGAGGGAGAAAUGUCACCCGGAGUCCCGGCCCGUGGGGGAGAGGUGGCGCGUUAGAGAUGUGUGUGGGAGAGAAAGGGGGAGCGAGACCGCCGCCGGCCCCACGGACUUGUCAAGUUGAAAACAGCAAGCUUUUGGGCUCAAAAAGCUUAGACGAUCAUGGCUACGAAAACUACAGCUACUCAGAAAGAAUGUAAUUCUGGAGGCUCCUUAGUGAAAAAGUAGUGCAAGCCAACAUCAGAACAGUUGCCAAGUGCAUCUUCUCCACAGCACCCAUGAACUUCAGCCUUGAACUGAAGAGGACUCAUCAAAUGUCUUAGGAGAGACAGCAUGGAACUGGAAGAGAAGCGGGCAUCUCCAUGAAGGGCAGUCAACUGCAGUCUUGGUGUGUGGAGGAACAGGUCCUGUUCUCACUGUUGUUACUCCCACAUAGGCGGACUCUGUAAUUGAUUAUGUGUGGGUAGGGCCCUACUGAAAUUAAGGAGAUUCUGCAAUAGUGCAGGGUUCUUUUUGUGAAAGUUCAGUUGCAAGAUCAGGACCCUACUGUGACUCCUUACUGUGAAUUCUGUCAGUGUAUCAUUGAUUGUGCUGGAACCUGCCUUUUGGGAUAAUUACCAAAUACUAUAUUCCUCAAAACUUCUUAAUGGCACUGAGGCUUUGUGGAUAGUUGGUCACAUGAUGAGAAAAUUCAGCUAUCCUGCAAUUCACAUGGCUGGCAGAUAUAGAAGUAAUUUCACAAAUGAAAAUGGAAGAUGGAAAAUCCAUGAAGAUUGUGUUGAAGAGUAACACUGACUAAAAGGAAAUCUGAGACCACUGUCUACAAAUCAGAUAAUUUAUUUGAAAAGGUAGCUGAAGAGACAGCAAACAAAAAUGAUCAUCAAUAAGGAUAAAGCAUUUUACCUGUCCAUGCAAGCAGUACAAUUAGUCUGCUUACACUACCUGACCCUCCGGAUAGGAAGCUGGUUCCAGCAUUGUCAAUACCCUUUUUCCUUGGCUCCUAAUUCUCUCUAGUACGUGCUUUUCAGAUUCUGCUUGCAGAAAGACCAGCAGGGUUUUAAGAGCACAAUAUGCAUGACUGCAUCUUUUCCUCUAAUGCAUCUUCCCUAACAGUGGAAAAGAAUGGCGCUCUCAGAAUGUGCUCAUCUAAGCUUCCAGUUCCCCAGGAUCUUGGAAGGACUUCUGUGCAAUAGCAGCUUCAGCAUCUGCUGCAGAUAGCAGGCAAACUGGCGGAUGAUUGGCAGGGCUAAGAAGAAAUAGAUUUCCAGCACAGGGGCAAUGGACUCUUCUUCAGAGACUUUAAUUACAGCACCCCUCUAACACUUCUUCAAAACAGCAAUAAGUGUUUUAAAAUCACACAGGGAAAAGAUGGACAGAGAUCAACUUUUCACCGUCUCUAUCAAUAAAAAAAUGAGGUUGCAUCAGAUGAAGCUGGCCGUAGGCAGAUACAAAGCAAAUAAUACUCUGAAUUGUAUUGCUUUAUGUGUUCAUGGGUAAUACACUCAUGACAUUCGUUGCCUAAAGACCGUAUGGAUGAAAGAAGUUCACGUGGAUCUAUGGAGAGACUGCACAAGACCUUGGAAGAGAGAUCUAGUAAAGGUCGCUGACUAGACGAACCACAUCAGGCUCAGGAAACCCCCUGAACUAAAACAAAGUUGGAUGCUGGAACCCAUGGGCAUUCUCAAAUGUGCUUGUCCUAGUCCUGCUGUUCUCUGAGAGAGUAUUUGGACAAGAAUUGGCUUAUGCCUGCUGUUGGUGAUGGGUGAAUGGCCCAAGUGUGUGCCUGGCCUGAACCACUCUGACCUUUCUCGUAUUCUUAAAAUAGGCUUUAUUUAUGAAUAUUGGCCUGCUCACAGUCUUAGCAAAAAUGAAACAGGACCUUCCCCUCUUUAAUUCAACUAACUAGAGCCAACCUUAGUCAGUCAUUCUCGUUCCUUUUACUGCACUGUCAGCUUUGCUAACUACAUAGUCUGUGGUAUUUCAAAGAUUUUACGGCAUACGUUAAUAAAAUGCCUCUACCUCACCUCUUUUUCCUCAUUUAAUCAUGCCCUUACCUAAACCGAAAUUUAUCCAUCUGUACCUCUUUAGAAACUUGUUGCUACAAUUGUAAUUUUGAAUAGUGACUUUUCUGGUUCCUUAUGCUGGCCUUCAGAUUCUCUCUACUACAGACAGGAAACCUGUAAGCCUGCCAAAAGAAAAAAGAGCAAGAAAAUGAAUAGAAAAUCCAUGGGACAGUGUUGUUUCCAUCACAGUAAUUUGGGAGGAGGAAUUUCAUUCUGAACCUUGCUAAGUGAAUAAAUCAAAUCCACAGAUCUGUAAUGCCCAAUCUGUAAGUCGUGUUCCAAAAAUCAGCAAGUCAGGAUCACAACCUUUGGACAUUCUCAGAAAUAACUUUCCUUCUUUUCCUUUCAACUUGAUGAGUUGUCCUGAGAGUAGGUUUAUCCUCCUAAGUCACUUAGCAAGGACAUGGAAAUUCAAUGGGAAGUCUCUAUAUUUAGCAGAGAUUAAGGUGGUCAAUGCUUAUAUUCAGUUCCUUGGUUAAGCAAAAAGUCCUUCCAAUUUUCAGUAGAUAGGCAUAGGUGAACACAGCUAGGGCUCAAGGAGGAGUGGAAUAGGAAGGGACAGAGUAACAGGGGGGGAUCUAGAAGUCUUCAUAGCAUCCUUUCACCCUCUGCCUCCUGCUGCUGGUAAAUCUGCACCUGAACAGCCAGUGCUUUAAAAAAAAAAAAAAAAAAAGCCUCUUCUGUUUGGCUUCUUACUUUUAACACCUCAGGUGUUGAGCAAAUGAAGGCAAACCUCUGUGCCAGGGCUCUGUCUCUUUAACUUUGUAUGUACACCAGCAGGCACAGUAGGAACCCAUUCUGUUUUGAACAUACUAUAGCAUAAAUAGCCGAUAAAUCAGAAAGGAAGGAAUCCACAUUUUCUGUUACUUGUGUGGCCUCCUGGAAUGAUUAAUAUAUGUUUAAAUGAGUUCUACAUGUAUGCUUUUUUUAAAUUAAAUGCUUCUUUUUUAACAAGACCACUUAAAAUUAAGUAUGGAAGUAGGGCAGCCGGUAUUAAGGUUAAAUUUACCAUAGUAUUUUAGAAAAACACAAUAAAAAUACUAUGCACCACAUUUUUUGAUGCCAAAGUUUUAGAGAAAAUCAAACCACUGAAGGGGUGGAAGUCACUGGCAGAGCAGUUGGAACUGCAACCUACGGAAUGCUGAACCUGCUUCUGAUAGCUUUUUUUUUUCCCUUUCCUCUUUUAAUGUACUCGGCUAUUUUAUAUUAAUGACUAGUAUGUUCAAAAUUGAAAAAUCCACUGGGGAGAUGAAAAAGCAGGCAAUUACAUUUUUUCUCAUCAGGUCCAUGAACAAAAACUGUAAGAGGGUGAGAUGUACUAGUUCUAAAGUCUUGAUGGUUGUGCUGACCAGAAACAAUCACUUGAGUUCACCAACUAGUAAUGAUUAUUCUUUGUUGAAUAAAUCAGACUUCAGUGCAGUACAUUCUGAUUUUUUUUCUUGCAUGUUAUGUACAUCUAUGGUUAUUAAGUUGAACUGAUAAAAAAUGAAAUGUUCUUUUGCUACAGUUUAAUUAAAUUCCAUUUUCCAUCAACACACAAUUUACAAACUAUAGUUGGAAGACUGAAUCACGUGGCAAAGAAAAGCCAUUAAAUUUUCUACCGUAAAAUGUAAAAAUUAAGAAUCAGAAGCUAGUUAUACAGAGAAAUUAAAUAAAAAUUGUACAGGCAUGAAAUAACAAUCUGGAUAGCAAAAAAAUCAUACUUUGUAAAGAGGGUAUAUUUAGUUGAAUGAGGGCCCUUAAAAUGAAAAAUAAAAUAAAGUCAGAUAUAAACCCAGACCAAAACAGACUGCGUAAGACAAAGUCUUUCUGUUUUAAAAGGUAGCUAGAAUUGAUGAUUCAACUCAGAGACACAAACCAAUCCACCCCGGCUGCUGAUAACAUGCACUUGUAUUUCUGGGUCCUAAACAAACACAAUAUGGGCCUUGCAAGUGCUUUAGAAAACCCUGGUUAACAAUCAGUUGUCCAGGAGUCCUCUCUGACCCACACAGGCCCUCCUUCGUCUUGGAACAAAACCCCAGCAGCUGUGGCUUAGACGAGCCAUCACGGUGCAGUAAGUGCACCCCUCGCCACUGCCUCUGCCGCCCCCCGCUCUCCCACCACCUGGAGCCCGAGAAACCCGGGCCUGCGCCUCACGUUCAGAACAAAUUGAAGAAAGAUGGGCAGCUGAGUUACCGAGAGCCGCCUCAGAGUAAGGCAGGAGGAGAUGACCUAGGGUUAGAUGACCCUGACUAUCAAGUGUGUUGCCUUGACAAAUAGUAAUUGCUCGACAAUUGCUCUAGGCUUGGAAAACAUAUGUUAUCAUGUUCAUGCUGUAUCCACUGAUAGAGAUUGUUUUCAUUACAUGUACUGGAUAUUUCUAACUGCACUGAACCUACUGAUGUGUGAAAACAUAGAUAAGAUUGAACCAGAGGUCUCAAACUUGAAAGUCUAAAACUUGAAAAUCUCUCCUUUGUUCAGGUUAUUCCUUUUGGCUAGCAGUUUUCUGUCUUUAGUUUAAGAAUCAGUCUAUGUCCAGCAUCUACAGUGGUCUUUGAAAUGCCUUUUUUUUUUUUUGAAUGGUGUCUUUGUUAGAGCUGGAGAAGUUUCAAUGAAAUAAUAUCUCAGUUUUGUGCUUGGUGCAUGCUAUUGUAUUAAUUAUCUCCUUGUAUAGGUUUCACCAUCAAGGCUGUUGGACACAUUAAAGAAUACUUCACACACAGCUCGGUAUUUAAGGCAUAUGCAGCUCAGCAUUGAUUACAUAUUCUAUACACUGUAAGAACUUAAAUUUUUUGGUCUGUUCUGUAACAGAACUUCCUUUUCAAAUACUGUCUACAGUAACUGUUUCCUCCCCUUUCAGCAAAAGUUUUAGUGAUAAUAUAAAUGUGAGCCUCUUUCAGUUGAAAAAGAUCAUCUUUGAAAUGAAGUAUUCCUUUUGCUGAAAAGCCAUCAAGUCUCUCCCUGAAAGAAUGUUGGGUGUUUAUGUUUUUUCUUGUACCUUAACACAUGUGCACUUAAGCAUCAAGAAGCUUCUCAGUGCAAGAAAAGCUGUAGAGAGACCUAAAAGAUCAUAGGAAAAAAAAUUGGGGGGUAUAGAUUACUAAAAUAAUUUAAAAAGAAGGAAUGGGAGGCAGCAUACAAUGUAUUGCACUCAUAGGGGCUCAAGUGGUUCAAGAGGUGUAUGCUUGCUGUAUUAAAGAAAAGGCAGCAGGAGUCUGUCAGGGGUCAGUACAUGAUCAGUCAUGACCUCAGGGGCACAGAGAGGUAGAAUCCUUGUGGCAUGAUUUGCAAGAGAAUAUGUGGGCUUUGAUUCAUUCAUUUACACAGCAUCAGAAGGUAAACGGGAUACUGCUUUCUUAUUUGAUGAAGGCUUCAGUCAUCCAGCUCAGCAUCUUCCAUUAAACUUCUUCUCUUUCUCUCUGUUUUCAUGUGCCUCUUGCGUAUUUCCAGCAGGCUGUCCCUCCAGAAUGAUGAAUCUUACACAUGAGAAAAGGACACUUUUGCUGCUACUUGUAAAUUUGUUGUUGUAUGACACAACCUGCCAUUAUUUUAAUUGUUGCUUUCAAAUGAAGUGUCUGCCAGCCUGUAUGAUGAAAUCAUGUGUUACUAACAACUACAACAGUAAUACCUAGUUCUAAUAUAUAGCUUUUUAUCUAUAGAUCUUGACCUUUUUUUAAGCCAGGAAUGAGAUAUUGUUCCUUUUAAAACUCACAGAGCUCAGGCAGAAGUGGCUGAGGCAAGAUUCAACAGCAUUUAUAUCUGCUCAUUGCUGGGCCGAUGGGCUGAUGGUAUGCGAACGAGACAGCUCUUCUAGGCUCUGAGUGCCGCUGACACGUAGCCCAGCAUCUAUGCAGUGCUUUGUGCAGGCUCUCCCACUGCACCCAAAACUUCCCCUAUUCCAACAGGAGGAGGCUUAUGGCUUCCUUCCACAACUCCUGCAGAAGGAUCCUUCCCUGGGUGAGAUGAGGCUUUUAGUGCUCUGUCCCGGCCAGGUCUUCAUAUCCAAUGUGAAGAGUGUGGAAGACUGGUGCAGAUUUCAGUCACUGUAAUUUUUGGUUCUUUUAUGUAGAGAUACGAUACAGUAUCAGAACUCCUUUAAGGGAGAUCUUCCUCGCUGGAUUAGCUUUUUGACAUGUGUUACACCCUGCUAACUAGGCACCUUGCCUCCAGAACUAUGAGUUUUAUAUUUUGAAAGACAAAUACACAGGUAAACAAAAUGUCACUAAACACUUAUUUCAUUUUAGACUUUUUAUAACCUUAGUAUAUGUAGCCUUGGGACAUCCUGUAAGCAUUAUUUUGUCUCUUGGGUUCAGUGAGAUGUAGGAUAGUUUUAGUUGUCCCUAUCUAAGAAUCAAGAAGCCGUUGGUGGAAUUCUGAGUCAGGGACAGGAUUAAGGCCCUCAUUUGGACUCCCAUUCCAAAUGUUGGCCAAAACACCAUCCAUCUUCCACCUUGAUACAGAUUUAACAUCAGCUGUAUGACUUAGCCUGAAAGGUCUGUAGGAACAGUAACUAGCAAUUGGCACUCAGAUGGUGGGACAAAAGAGAGAGCAAUUAUUCUUUAAUGUCUUCAUCAAUCCAGUUUAUUUAAGCACGUUCAGGAAAUUAUGCUAAGAUGCUUAAUUUCUUUUUUCAUUUAUUUACAGGCCUACUUUAUCUGUAGUGCUGAGCUGUUGUCAUAAUUUGGUUUUUAUGACUUGCAUCAAGCAUGAAGCUUUCAAAACCACGUGUCAAAGUGUGAUUAUGGAUUUAUUGACUUUGCAGUGGGUGUCCUUUCUGUUCCCUGGGUGGAAGGCUUGUCAUGUGGACCAAGAGCUGCUGAAGAACUGGGUGGUGAUCUGUUGACAUGCUUGUGGGGUGAAAAGCAGAGGUGGGAGAACUGAAGAAACAGAGUUAUGAAGUUGUCUGCUCAAAGCCAUAAAGGAGGCCACUGACAAAUCCAGGAACAGAAGCCAAGUCUCCUAGAUUGCAGCCUAAAUGCCAUCUAAUACUGUAAUCAACAGGAAAGUUUGCCUUCCAAUGUUACAACGAGUCUUUAUCAAUCUUUGUCAGGAUGAACCCCCAAGGCAUGACUGUGAUGGCUGUUUGAAACAAGAAACAGAUACCCUCUUGGUGUUAUUCUUUUCACUAAUCACUGGGAAUCUGAGCCUGAAUGAAGAUGGAGGAAGACUCCUACAGAGAACCGGGAACGGUUUGUCCCUUAAGAAGGGUAUAAUGGCAUUUUUAAUGUUUUUACCAAAUACCAGGGUAUGUGAUAAAAGUUUAUGGAUUGGGAAUUAAUUGAAAGAUUGUGAAAUGGGAAAGAAUGCACAUUAUGGGAAGCCUUGGAGAACUACAACCUAAGCACCCUGAAAUUUGCGACCAAGGCCACAGAAUGUCUCUGGAGUUAUUGGAACCAUCUCAGAUGACUGUUAUUUCUGAUAUAAUUUACCAGUCCCAGUAAGCUCCCCCAGCCAGACUGGGAAAAGACAUUCCUUUUAUUAAUGUUAGUCCAGGGGACUAAAGUGUAUUCUGGGAAAUGAAACAUAUAGUUUAAGGAAUUAGCUACAGAAUUCAGUUUUGUAAAAAAAGAGACAGUGUGCAUUUGUACCUGGGAGGUGGUAUAGGUUUUGAAAAAUGCUGUUCAAAAGAAAACGUGCUUAUAUCUAAACUCUGUUAUCUGCAACAUAAAGGUUUACAGUUUUAAAUGUAUUAAAUAACGUAUCUGUAUGAUGAAAUGUGAAAUGUAUAAUUAAACUAAUGACUAUAAGUAUAGAACUAGUAAAUGUUAUCUAAAUCGUAUCUGCAAAUAUUAAACUGUUUCAUUUCUAGAGGUUACAGAAAACACUUUAAAAUUUUAUACAGUCUUUCCACCCCCUCUAGUUUUUAAUGUAAUUACAGUUUUAAAGCUAAUCUAUUAGUUUUUUUAAUAUUUGCAGUUGUGUUAAAUUUUACUGAGGAACAAUUUAGUUUGGAGAAACCGUUACACUUUAUCCCAACUGUGGUUCGUGUUGUUUGAACAAGAAGUCCCUGAGUGUUUGUCCCAAAUACCAAUAUUUUCACUCCACUGGCAGCUGUAUAUUUGUGGUCACCCUACAGCAAUGUAUGCAAAGAAUGUAUACAGUGGCAGUGCCUCUUCCAGAAAGUACCAGAAGGAAAACUGGAUGUGGUCAACCCACACAUAAUUUGCUCUUCUUGGUGGAGGUCUCGCAUAGACAACACUUAAAUGGCACUUUUUGUUUCUGGAUAGGAUGAAGGUAAGAGAUGGAAACCAUUCAAAAGCCAUUGCUUACAUUCCCUGAAAUGGGCUAAAAAGAACAGCUCUUCUGAGACACAGUUUUACACUGAACAUACGCAGAGCUGCGUUAUUAUUAAUUCUGAAAACGUGUUUACAAUAGUUAGGUAAAAUAUUUAGUUACUAUUUAAAUAUUUUGAUGUAUUAUAGUUCGUACACAAAUUUUAGCUGUCUACUGCACUUAACAUUUCCAAUUUAAAUAACUGGUUUCAUUAAGAAUUCUGUGAUACAAAUUAAUAACAAAAGGCAGUUAAUACAGAGUGCAGUUAUGAGAUCAAAAUACAUGUGGUUUAAAUUUAAAGAAUUAAAUGUUAGCAUUUCCCUAUAGAGAAAGGUUAUUUGGGCAGUGGUGUACUGACAUUAUCACCACCCACGGAGAAGGGGACCUGUUGAUCCUAUCGGUUAAGCAGAAAUUCAAAAAAGGAAGAAUGUAGGUCUAGCGGGUUUGCUUGGUGUGAGUGAUUCACACAGGAAAAAUGCUGAUACCUGGAGUCAUCGUAGUGACCUUCUCUAAUGAUUAAAAAGAGAAAUAAGCACGCAGUAUUUUUGUCAAGCUGGAGGGUUUAGGUUGCUUGCUACGUAAAGGUGGUCUUGGUUAUUAAUAUAAUAAGUGGAAAGUUAAAUGAUGACCAUGGAAAUACGAUAACAAGUGCUAUUGCAAAUGAGACAAAAAAAGAUUUUCUGUGGGCAUUAAAACUGAUCGUCCAAUGUGUUAACCAUGGGGCUGAAGGACUGCUAAGAAAAUGAUGUGCAAAGUGGAUGAAAUAAAGGAUAAAAGUGUGUUUAAGUAGGUAUUUCUUCAAAGCUUCCUUCAGGGAGGUGUUUCUAGGCACUACCAUACUGCUUCUGACAAAUCAUGUCUGUUAAGCUGAAGGUAAGCAAACAGCAUUCAUUUAGCAGUAUACAGUGCUAUCUAUAUCUCUGAAUUUCUGUUUGGGCAAACCUUUAUAAUAACUUUAUUUGACCUAGAAACAAAUCUAUUAAAACCAUCCAUUACUAAUUUGUCACUAUUUAAUGUUAGUUUAAUAUGACAACUCUGGGAUGGCUUUGCCUGUUACUCCUGGAAGAAACUACAUAAAAUUGGGUGGGUUCGAGUAGUUUCACGCAGACCUGGGACUGCACAGAAAAGCCAGUUCUCAACAUCACUGCACAUAGGGAAAGCUUGUCUCUGACCCUCAGUCGAACAGCUUGAACACAUGCUGAGUGAACCCCCAGGCUACCAAUACUCUGCACUUUGGCUUUUGAAACUUUCUGGGUAAGAUACAGUUUCAACAUGAAAAGUCAAAAUACAGUGGUUUACAAUCAGUUUUGCUUUGUUUGAAGCUAAAACUCAAAGCAAAACUCCUGAGGUAUAGAGCUGUAUGAAGCAAAACAUAAGAAAAUUAACAGAAAACCUCUGCAAACUGAACAAUCUAGUUUCACCCAGCUCUUGAAAUAACCCCUUUUUGCUAGUUCACUUUUCAAUUGCAUGUGUGGGAUGUCAAAAAUUAGUUGUUUUCACUACCCUGUGGCACAGGUGAUAAACGCCGCAGCUCCAAAGCAUAACCCUCUGUCCGAGCAAGGUCUCACUCUCACUCUCUGUCUCAGCUGAUACUUUCGACAUCUGCCAAAAGAUGAUAUUUUCUCAGUCCCUGGCUAGUUACGUUUAGCUCUUGAUUGUCUGUAAAAAAAGCCUGUAUGUUUUUUUGUAGUUGCAUCCAGCUCUGAACUAAUUUCCUAGAUCUAUAACAAUGCUCUAAAUAGUACCCAGUCCCAAAGUAGCAGCAGUAACUUCACCUCUGGGGGAUCGCCCGAGGAUUUAUGGCAUUGUAAGUUCAAAGCCUGAUAUUUCAGAGAUGCUGAACACCUGUUUCUCUUCCUAGCUGGUAUGGGAGCUGCAGGUGCUCAUGCUCUUGUGAAGAUCAGACCUCUUCUGCAUCAGUAUGUUUAUUUACAUUUAUUUGCAGUGAAACAACAAAGAAUCCUCUGCUCUCCUUUCACUUUUUGUAAAAUUGUAGUGCAACUGGCUUGAAACAAACCUAUGAACGGCACCAAGCCAGAAGGUACUUCUAGGAGAGCAUUGCUGAGCGUGUGUGAGUUCAGACUCUCAGGGCUCCUUUGCUGGCUGGGCAGCUGAUCCAUUUUCUUUCCCCCUAAAAUAUUGAGGGAGUGAACUCCUGAGCCUCCAAAAUUAUCACUGACGGAGAAGCAAUGCCUCAGCAGCAGUGGGACUAAGUGAGUCAGCUUCUGGAUGUAGAUCUCAGACUUUGACAUCUUUGUUGAGAAGAACUAGAGUGAUGUUCAGGAAAAAAAAUAAAAAUUAUUGUCAGAUAAUCAGUGAUCUUGUGUACCUAUAUUUUGCUUAUUCGUAUGUCAGGUUUUUGUGGUGAACCAGUCAGUACCUAGGAAUGUGCAGAGUGCAAGCAGAAUGACCAGAUUUGAAGGUUGAAGGUAUCUUGAAGCACAGCUCACAGGCUGGGUUACAUGAGGAUUAUUGUGCAUGGAUUUUACAAUAUAAUGGCUCACCUCUGCACAAGAGUGAAUUUUAUAUGGUGUGAGCAUAUGUCACCGAAAAAACCCAACAUUGGGUUGUUGGUGGAAUGCAAAUAUUAUGUGACUCUUAGUCUCACUUGGUAUUUUAAACCAUGAGAGUUUCAGAUUUGAGUCACAGUAACUUGUAACUAGGAUAUGUAUAUACGCAUAUAUAGCACACAGGCUGUAAGCAAG
Falco peregrinus (peregrine falcon) is the source of this 11019-nucleotide long non-coding RNA. RefSeq lists it as uncharacterized. The transcript is spliced from 14 exons. NCBI's taxonomy places the organism in Eukaryota, Metazoa, Chordata, Aves, Falconiformes, Falconidae. The record is from RefSeq and is a predicted model, not a curated record.